Molecule: ribosomal RNA, 468 nt
Filed under: uncultured bacterium
Lineage: Bacteria
Description: partial 16S ribosomal RNA
Rfam family: Bacterial small subunit ribosomal RNA
Source: RNAcentral
GACGAACGCUGGCGGCGUGCUUAACACAUGCAAGUCGAACGGAAAGGCCCUGCUGUUGUGGGGUGCUCGAGUGGCGAACGGGUGAGUAACACGUGAGUAACCUGCCCUUGACUUUGGGAUAACUUCAGGAAACUGGGGCUAAUACCGGAUAGGAGCUCCUGCUGCAUGGUGGGGGUUGGAAAGUUUCGGCGGUUGGGGAUGGACUCGCGGCUUAUCAGCUUGUUGGUGGGGUAGUGGCUUACGAAGGCUUUGACGGGUAGCCGGCCUGAGAGGGUGACCGGCCACAUUGGGACUGAGAUACGGCCCAGACUCAUACGGGAGGCAGCAGUGGGGAAUAUUGCACAAUGGGCGGAAGCCUGAUGCAGCAACGCCGCGUGCGGGAUGACGGCCUUCGGGUUGUAAACCGCUUUCGCCUGUGACGAAGCGUGAGUGACGGUAAUGGGUAAAGAAGCACCGGCUAACUACGUG